CUGGCAGUUGUCUUAUUGAAGUUCCACUUCCAUCAAACUCCUCCAAACUUUCAACUUUCCCCAAAUUCUCUGGUAUAUAUUUAAGUUUAGAGCAACCAGACAGAUCAAGUUUUUUAAGGGAUUUCAAACAACCUAUGCUACUUGGAAUGCUUUCAAGGUUCUUGCAGUUGUUCAUGCUCAAUACAUCUAAGCCAAUCAAAUGACGAAUUGAUGAAAAUAGUUCAACAAUACCAGUCUCGUCCAAACGAAGCACCAUCAAACAGUUCAUGUUUCCUACUAUAUCUGGAAACUUCUCAAGUUUUGAGCAGCCAUCAAGAAUGAAAACUUUAAGCGAUUCCAUUUCAAGAUUGUUUGGGAGAAUCCUAAUACUUUGCAGCACAAGAUUCACAUAUUGAAGCUUCUUGUGAUGUGCAAGUGAUGGAUGGACCUCAGACAAACUUGUACAACCUUCAAGAAUAGUUCUCGAGAUUCGGAAUUCCAGUAAAAUCUGGAGUCUUGAUCAGGUUUAGUGAGUUGCUGAGAUUGAUGAUUUUCAAAUUAACUGCACUCUGCAAUCAGUCAGGGAGAAGAAAUAUGGAUCUACUAUCAUACAUAUAUAGGAAAACGAUAAAAAAAAUACAAAGGUCCUUAAAUUAGGUGAUCUCACCUUACACCCAUACCAUAAUUGCUCAAUACUAUUGUUAGCCAUGUGAAGUUCAACUAGCUCAUCCACCUGUAAACCAGCUGGCAAUGAUUUUGAAGGGUAAGAAUGCCAUUCAAGAAAUCGUAGCUUAUUGGAAAGAUCUUCAGGUCCUUCAGAAAGCUGCACGUUGUUGAUUUUGAGCAAUCUUAGUUUGCUCAUUUUAGAGAAGGCUUCCAUGUUCCAUUGUGAUUCUUUUAUUUCAGGCAUGUCUAGGAAAAUGGCUUCUAUUUUUUCUUUUCCCUGUCAACCAAAAGGGGAAUACAAGUAAAAAACAAAUACAAAGUAGAGAUGGAGCGUAAAUUAAAAUAAACUUCAUGAAAUCUUAUCAGCUACUCACUGUGUUGUCCAUCAGUGCAAGGCAGACAUCCUCGUAUGUCCACAAUCUACUACGCCUUCCAGGCUCUUCAGAGGAUUCACAACGAACAAUUUCCUUGCCCAUUAUCUGUAAUAAAUUAUGCAUCCAGAUUUGAUCCCGAGAGACACUUAUGAGUGAUUUCUCAAUAAGAACUUGUGUUCCAAUAUGUGCAUGGAAUCCACAGCUGUCAAGUAUCCUUAUUAUUCGAUCUUUUUUAAAUCCCUUAAGGAAACAAGCAAUGUCUAAAAAUAUUUUCUUCUCUAAUUCAUGGAGGCCAUCAAAACUAAUGCGAAGCACAUCAAUAAUUUCACGGUCAGGAAUAUAAUUUAGUCUAUUAAUGGCACUUCCCCAUUCAAGGAUACUUCUUCCAUGCAUAAACGAACCUAUAACUUCAAGAGCCAGUGGAAGGCCAUUAGCAUAGCCCACAACUUGCUUGGAUAGUUCCACGAAAUCUUCAACAGGUUGGUCAUUUUUGAAAGCUUUCUGGCUAAACAACGUAAGAGCAUCAUCAUCAUUCAAUUUCUCAGCCUCAUAUAUUCUAGCAACACCAUUUCUAGUCAACACUUGUUUAUCUCUGCUUGUUAUGAUAAUUCUGCUCCAUGGACCAAACCAUUUACUCUCCGCAGCCAGGGAUUCUAGUUGUUUAUGGUCAUCUACAUCAUCAAGAACAACAAGAAUCUUUCUACAUUGUAACCUCCGCUUUAUCAUUUCAAUUCCUCUAGAAGAAUCACAUAUAUUAGCGCGUUCCAUUAAGAUUUCAGAAAGAAGUUGUUCCUGCAAACGACGUGGUCCAUCUUUCUCAGAAAAAACUUCUCUGACAUUUGCUAAGAAGCAGCUGCCUUUAAAUUGCCAACGAAAGCUAUCAUAUACUACCCUUGCAACAGUCGUCUUACCUAUGCCACCCAUCCCACAAAUCCCUAUGAAGAUUGCUUCGCUAACUUCUUCACCUAUAAAACCAUUUAAUAUCUCUAGACGAGAAUCUAUUCCCACUAAUGUUUUGCUAACUGGCAUAGUGACGCUUAGUUUGUAGGAUAUGUAUUCAACAAUUAUAUUAAUUGAUUCCGAUUCUUUCCUGCAUAGGAGGGUGCAAAACAUUAAUCAUGUUGUGUGCAAAUCAAAUCAGAUAGUGAUAAUGGGAAAAUAAAGAUAUAGCUCAAAAAUGUAUGGCUGCUAGCCGGAAAUUAAUACAUCAAUCUUUGAGAAAGAUAAGGCUUUGACAAUAGAUAGCUUUAAUAACAAAGAGAAAAGGAAAGAAUAAACUAAAAAAGGAACUAAGAUUGUAUUAAUGCUAAGAAUGGUCCGUACAAUAUCUAUGUUAUUGCCUAUAGAAUCACACAGUUACUAAAGAAGCAUGCAUAUAAGAACAAAAACUCUUCAUUAAGUUUGGCUUUGACAGACCAAAAGGAAAAUGGAGUUCUUCUAUCAUAUUUUUUUAUCAACCACUAAGUUAUUUUUAUAAUUAUUUUUAACAAAAAUUUCAAUUAUCUUGCAUAGUAAACUUUUAAAAAACAACUUUAAAUUUAUUAAUUUUCGAGGUUUUUCCUAUAUGCUACCCAAAAAAUAUUUCUUAGACUAACAUAGUUUAAGUGGAUGCCCAAAUCCAAUCCACGCACCUUGAGAUGCACAAAUAUCACACAUGUUAAUAUUAUUCUUUUUUGCAAAUUAAUGGAUGAAAUAAUCGUAAUAAUAGAACUAAAGUUAACUAAAUAUACAAAUUGAGAAACCAGAUGAAUAAAUGGGCCAAUAAAAAAAAGAAAGGUAGAUUUUUUUGACAUGUAAGACCUGCAUGUCUCAAGUUGCAUAAGUGAGAUCUUUAUGGGUCUAUUUGCGAUUAUGAUAGGAAUUAUGAUUCAAAGUGUUUUUUGUUUAGAAAUACAUCAAAAUAAUAUUUUUUUAUUAUUUUAAAAAAAAUUAUUUUUGAUAUCAACAUAUCAAAACGAUCUGAAAAUAUAUAUAAAAAUAAUUUAAAAAAACACGGCAAACCACGUUCCCAAACGGACUCUACAACUCGUGAAACAAUGCUAGUUUGGAAAGUUUUUUUACCCACCUAUACUAGUUUGAAAUUGUUUUUACAUUAAUUUUAUGUUUUUUUAACAAAAAGGCACCUAUCAAAAUUUAAUUCCAAAUUAAAAAGAAAAACAUAAAAAUAAAAAUAUUCACAAUAUAUAUAUAUAUAUAUAUAUAUAUAUAUAUAUCUUUUAUUUAUAAAUAGUUGGAAUUUUUUAAUUAAUUCAUGAUGGAAAAUAUUUUUAUUUUAUUUUGAAAAGUUAAAACCAAUAUAUUCAAAAACUUUGGUCAAUUUUUUAUUUCUUAUGAUGAUUUGUUGUCAUUUCUUCACAAUUUUUUAUUUUUUAAGCUAACUUUUUAUUUGUUCAUGCUAGAUUUGUUUUUCAACAUUUUUAUACAUUUUAAUUUUUCUGUUUAAUAUUUAUUUUAUUUUCAAAAUAUAAAGAAAAACCUAAGAAUAGAAAGAAGUUUUAUAUAAAGAUUAGAAAUGCUUGAUCGCAUCAGUUCAAAAUAUCAUAAAAAAAAAAAAAAAAAAAAAACAUGCAUAUGAAAAAAAUACACAUUUACUAUCAUGCUUGUUCAUCAAUGAAAAAAAUACACGUUUCCGCUCGGUUACCUCUGAGGGAUCCACAUCAUAAAACUCUGAGGGAUCCACAUCAUAAAAAACUGGCAGAACAGUUUGGCCCAUCUCUUUCAUGCACUGAACAAUCUUGACAAGUUCAUCCAAGCACCAUGGUGAAGAUGCGUAAUCUCCUGAAAAUAUAAUGACUGAAAACCUUGAUUCUUCAAUGGCCUUCCAGAGAGCAGGUUCGAUGGGCUUUCCUCUCUCGAGCUCCCUAUCAUCCAUGUACACAUCGAUGCCUCUCUGUUUCAGAUUAGAAUAUAGAUGACUAGUAAAGUUGUUCCGGGUGUCUUUGCCUCUAAAACUAAGGAACACAUCAUACAUAUACAGUGGAGGAGGAUAAGAUGAAGAUGAAGAUGAAGAUGAGGUUAUUCCUUGCACGCUGGUGGAAGCCAUGAAAAUCCCUAUAGCGAUAAACUAGUACCGUGUGUAAGGCCUGCUCCUGUGGUCAAACAUGAAACAGAAGGUAAGAUCAAGAAAUUUGGCAAUUAAAUCUACCAAUUAGUAAUUUCAAGCUGGAACAUAUCAGAAAACACCAAAUUUCUACGAGUAAUUCACGAAUCUAGACGAAACAAACCGUGUGGUAAGUGUUGGCUAAAGAGGCACAAGAUCUAGCCAAGCCCAAUGACGUCGAAUUUUUUUCCGGUUCCUUGAGGUCAAGAACUCGUACUGGUAAGUUUACACUGUAAAGAAGAUGGAGUUUCGGUGGAGAAAAAGCAAAAAGAGAAAUGAAAGGGAUAUCGAACGCGCAUUGGGCAGCAGAGGCACCUUCCUGUCAAAAGCAGGGGUUAGGCCACAUACAUCACAAUUGAGUUGAUUCAUAUUUUUUAAUGAAUUCUCAAGUCAAGCAUUCCAAGAACUUUUGUCAGGAUCUGCCACACACAUCACAAUGGAGUUUAAAAUACAUAUUCUUUAACUACUUUUGUCUCUUUUCCAGCGCAUAAAGCUUUUGCAUUCCGACAACUUUCCAACAAAAUUUUUAAAACUGACCUUGAAAUUAAACAAGAAAAAAACACCAUAAAGCAAAAGUUCUAAGGUGAAUCACAACAAUCGUGCGAAGAUUCAUAUACUGCUUGGAGUUGUUACAAUGGUUAAAAGUUAUUUAAAAAAGCUAAUUAUAUUUUAAUAUAUUUUAUAUUAAAUUAAUUUUAAUAUAAUUAUAUAAUUAUUUUUUAUAUAAUAUAAUCAUGUUAUACAAUUAAUAUAAAUAAUAUGAAAGUUAAAAGAAACAAUUUUUAGUUUUCUAUUAUAUUAUUAAAAAAUUUAGGCUUUGAGGUUUGCAGGCUUUUCUCCUUCUUGUUCUGUUUUUAAAGAGAAAAACAAAAGCCUAUUGUAGAUAAAGAAACAUUUUUUAAUCGAUUAAUUUAGUUUUUUACUUGAUAUAAUUUUUCCAAUGAACUUUUUUUUUUAUUUAAUUGAUUUUUUAGUUUUCUUGAGUAUCAAUAAUGCUUAAUAUACUGAAAAUCAGGAAACCAAAUACCUUGAUAAAGUCUGCAAAAAAGCAAAGGGAUGAUUUGAUAUUAUCAGUAAGGAUAAUCAUUCUAAAAUUGUUGCUUUUUCUUCUUUUUAGAUAUUCAAACAUAUAAAGAUUUUAUCCGGUUGCUUUAGGUCAAGAACUCGUACUGGUAAGUUUCCUGGAUUUUCCUAUGGAUCUUUUUCUUACACUGUAAAGAAGAUGAGUUUCGGUGGAGAAAAAGCAAAAAGAGAAAUGAAAGGGAUAGCGAACGCGCACUGGGCAGCAGUCAGCAGAGGCACCUUCCUGUCAAGAGCAGGGGUUGGCCCCACACAUCACAGUUGAGGUUUGCAGGCUUCUUUCUUCUUCUUGUUCUGUUUUUAAAGAGAAAAACAAAUGCCAACUGUAUAUAUACUUUCUCCUUGCAUUUGGUUUUUUUCUACAUAGAGAUGUAAAAAUAGUAUUUUAGUAGAAAAAAAUAGUAUUUUAGCUAUUCAAAUAGCUAUGCUCCAAUGACUUUAAAUUAUAAUUUGGAUGACAAAAUUUAACAAUGAAAGGCAUAAUAAAAUAUAAUCUAUAAUAAAUAUCAUAUUGAUAGCUUUGUUUUAAAUAUUUAUAUAAUUUUUUGGUCUAGUAGGAUCGAAAUGACCCUUCCAAUGUAUAAAUUAUAGUUGUUUAAAACAAUACAUUUAGUCCAAAAGUUAGAAAAUAGCUUUGUUUUAAAUAUUUAUAUUAUUUUUUUCACAUAAAAUAUAUUAAUUAACAAAAGCUAAAAUAUAUAGUGAAAUCACUGUAACUGGUAAAACACUGGAGGUUUUAUCUUUGGUUUGUUGGAAAGUAAAGUUGUUUUUUAGAGCUGUUUUGGUCCUUUGAUUUAUUUGUUCAAUUCACAUACGCACUUUGAUUUACAGUUGGUUAGAAAAAAAUAAAUUGUUCAUCUCUAUGGUUUUGGGAUUCUCAAUGAAUUGAUAAUGAGGUCAACGACAGUGACUGUAUACCUUCAUUCGACUUCAUUUUUAUCAGGUAACAGUAAUCUUUUUGUUUUCACCUAUAUGAUAUUUUAGUUUAAAAUCUAUUUAGGGUACUAAAUACUAAUAUGAACAAGCUGCUAUAAUGUUUUUAGUUUAAGAAAAAAAAAAAGCUUUAAAAACUUUAUUUUAACCAUGAUUUUUUAUUUUCAAAAUUUUUUUCAUUUAAAAAUACAUUAAAAUAAUAUUCUGAAGAUCAACAAACCAAAACAAUUUUAAAAUAUAAAAAAUAAUUUAUAUUUUUUUAAAAAUAAAAAAAUAAAAAACAUAGUUUUAACUGUAUUUCUAAAUGAUCUUUUCAAAUAAUAGCAACUUUUUAUUAUCCAAAAAAAGAAGUUUGAAUUAUCCAGAAAACCAUGACCAGAUCUGGAGAAGGGUUCCUUCACUCUAGAAGAUGAGUGGCCUUUGUUAAUUUUGUAGUCAAGUGAAAACAAACUAUAUUAGAUUCUUAGAACCCUUUCUUGAUCAAUUGGUUAAUUUCUGUUAGCCAAUGCUAUACUGUGGGCAUGAUUCCUAUUUUCUGUUAGCCAAUGCCAUUUUCAAUCAUUUUCAGCAAAAAAAAAAACCAACGAACAACGUACUAAAUGAUGCAAUCAAUGACAAAAAGUAUGAGGAUAAAGAAAGGAAUCACUAUUAAUAAUUUUGUUAGACUAUUAUGAAUGAAAGGACACUUUAAUGUAUGAAAUGCUAGCUAUAAUUAUUUCCACGAAAUGUAUGUUUCUAAAACUCAAUAUUUAUAUUUUUCAAAUCACUUCACGUACGUCUGCUACAAAGAACAUUCAUCACAUUAAAUUAAUACGACUUAAACAACUGCUACUUGGCCAAGCUGUUGGGUCACGACUUAAACAACGAAGACCAAGCUGUUGGUCUCUACUCUCUACUUCGCACGUCCUCGGGAAGCAUAUCCUUAGAAUGGAGAGCUGGCCACACGAGACAGUUGCUACCUGGCCAAGCUGUUAGGUCACGACUAAAACAACGAAGACCAAACAAUUGUUAUUAGUAUGGUGCUAUCCUUUGUCACAAAUUGUUAAUUAUAUAAUGCCUACCAUUUCUUAAUUAUAAAUUGUCAGUAAAACACAUAUCAUAACAACACCUACCUAGCUAUCUUAUAAAUUAAUAGAACACCGUAUACAUAAACAACUCAUUUUACAUGUUAUCUAUGCAUAAUAUAUCUGUUGUUGCACUCUUUCCGAGCUAAUUUCAUGUGACAUGAGAUAUACAUAAAUAUUUAAGAUUACUAAGUAACAAACACACAAAUAACAAUUCUUUUAAGUUCUUCUUCUCAUUGUUAUACAUUAUUUUUCUCAUGUGUGUUUGUUAACAUAGUCAUCACAGAGUUCCCUGUUCCAUGAAAAACUUGUUUUUGUAGGAGUUCAUGAACCACAAGCCUAACCCAAUUAGAAAAUUUCAAAAUUCAUUACCUAGGUUUAAUUUGAUGAAUUUUCAACUUCGUCAAUAACGCCUUCUGUUGGAACUAGAAGAAAAGCUAGUUUAGUCCCUUUUCUUUUCUAGUUCUUUCCAUUGAUGAUAACUUAGAAAUGACAGGACAAGGGAGAGGUAACGAUCUCCCCACUACAGGAGCACCAUCUCCUUCAACAAAUCCCUCAUUGCAUGAAAUUGCUCAGUAAAGUUAUUUUAGCCACAUAAGAAUUGAUCAGUAAGGGAAAAUAUGCAUGUUUUUUUUUUCUGUUUUAGUUUAGUUUAGUUUAGUUAUUUCUUUUUAAUGUGAAUUGAUCACAGUGUUAAUUUUAUGCUUUUAUGAGUUUAAUCUUCUAUUUAAUUUCUAAAAUGAUCAAUUACAUUUGAGGGAAAAGAAUUAAUCACUGGUAGGCCUUAAUCUUAUUUAUUCUUUUAUUUUUUAGUCCUUUUAAAUUAUUAAUCCAUUUCUUAUUUUUAUGAAUUUUUUUUUUAACAUAGAAGAGAAUAUCUCAAAAUUAAUAACCAAAAUUAUAGCAUCAAUGAGGAAAGGGCUAACGAUAUGGGAUGGAUUAAUAGAAGAAUGGUUGGAUUAAUAAAUCUCAAAGAUAGAGGCCUUAUUAAAACAAAAUCAAUAACAUAAGAACUUUAAGCUCAUUAACCCCCGUAUUACUAAAUAACGAAAGGAAAUCCCAGCCAUUUUUUAUGUAAAAAUUGAACUCUCGUAAUUGAGGCCGCUAUUUUAUUAUGUAAAAACUCACACGGAGGAAAAGAACCAACCAUCAGCGGCAUCACCCUCUUUGGGAUCUUGAUUUUCAUCGGAUUAGCACCCAGCACAUCAAGUUGGCUCGACAGGACUGCCAAGGUACUGUGAUUCUGAAUAAUUAUUUUGCUAUGCAUCAAAUAAUUGCGGCUGCAGCUGAUAAUCCACCAUAUAUUGGGUCGCAUGUGGGAUAUUUUUGUUUAUUAAUUAAUAAAAAAUAAUAAUUAUAGAGGUUUAUUAAUUAAUAAAAAAAAUACCUUCCCAAAUUCAUAUUCUAUUUAAAAGCAUGCAACAUCACAUGGGUUCUGCAGAAAUUAAUCGUGGCAGGUAACACCAAAUGGCUUCACGUGGGUUCUACAACAAUAACUCAUAGCAGGCAACAUUACAUGGGUUCACAUGGGAUCUGCAGCAAUAACUCAUGGUUUCUCAGCAUAGACAUUUUGACUUUUUCCACGCCUAUAAAAAAGGACUCCAAAUUUUUCAGAGGACAAACUAUCUUUUUCCCCAAGAAAAUUUUACUCUCUAAAAACUCAUAUUUGUAACCCAUACUCAUUCACCACUGUAACCAAUAUCUCCUGUAUUGUUCUAUAUUAUAAAUUUAAGUAAGAUUUUAGUAAUUAUAAUAUUAUUAUAAUUUAUAUUGCUGUUAUAUUUUCUGUUUUAUACAAAUAUAUUAUCUGUUUGAUCAAGGAUCCUGAUAUUACUGGUCUUGCCUUGAUCAUUCACAUCAGAAAUUUGUAUGUUUUUAUAAGUAUCCAUUUUCUUGUUACUUUAACAAAAAUCAGUAUAUAUGUUGGAAACCUGUGACUCGAUUUUUCAGAUAAUUUUCAGGUAUAACAACGAUACGUACUGAGUUUUAUUUCUUUAUUUCUUUUUUUGUGUUUAUCUGCUAUAUAUUAUUUCAAGUUGGAUGAAAACAAGCAAUAAACAAGGAAGUAAUUGGACCAACAUAAUCAUUGAAAGUAAUUCAUACAAUUCGUUGAAUAAAAAGCUAACCCUCCACAAUUCGCAGUACUCAUUCACAGUAGUAAUCACCCAUAAUCAAAAUAAGAAAAAUAAGUCCCACCAAUUUUAUAGCUCCUACAUAUUUUUUUAUUAAAAGAUUGAUCUUAAGAAAAUUAUAUAAUUAACUGAGAUUAAAAAAAAACAUUAAAUUAAAUCCAAAAACCAUUCCUCGCCACUACAACCUUAAUUUUCACAGCUCCAUCCUGGUAACAAAAUAUAAAAUGUUUUUUUUUAAGAAAAAAUAAUUAUAAAAAAUUUAAUUAAAUCCCAAACACAAUUUCAACCAUCAAUACAAACAUGAUGGAUUCCUCUAUCAUCAACCAUUUUUUUUAUAAAAUCUCAAAUAGUAAAUAAAAAAAUUCAAAACAACAUAAAAAAUGGAUUCUUUUUAAAUAUUAUCCAAAAACAAGAGAAUUUGGGUUAGUGAGUUGUGAGGGGUUAAUGAGUUUGAGGGAUCGUAUACUAUUGAUUUUGUCUUUGAAAGUUUUUGAGUCCAAUCAUUAUACUAUUAUUUGUCCAUGCCUUUGAUCUCUCCGUGGCUAACAAUGUUAUUUGCCCAAUAACUUUAAAAUAUUCUUUGGAAUAUACUUUCAUACUUAAAAAAAUAAUAAAAAAGAAAGAAUUGAUUAAGAGCUAAAAAAGGCUUUAAACAACAAAUAAAAAAGAUAAAACCAAAAACAUAAAAUUGAAACCAACAAGUCCAACCAAUUUUUUCUUUCCUUCAUUUAUAAUUACAUGUUUAUUAAUUAAAAAACAUGCAACAAAAAUUUAAUUAUGAGAUCGAGUAAAAUAAAAAAUAAAAAACACGGUAUACAUAAUUAUAUAUACAUAAAAGUCCUCGGCACUGCAACGACUACAUCAGCGGCAUCACCCUCUUUGGGAUCUUGAUUUUCAUCGGAUUAGCACACAACACAUCAAGUUGGCUGGAAAGGAGUGCCGAGGUGUGAUUCUGAAUAAUUAAUUUGCUAUGCAUCAAAUAAUUGUGGCUGCAGCUGAUAAUCCACCUGGUUUGACAUCAAAUGAUAAUUCACAUCGUUUUUUUGAAGGAUUGUGCUGCAAGUGGUAGCCGACUUGGUUGACCGAAUAGGCUGUGGACCAAGGAGAUCAAUUUCCAGGAAAUCCAUUUCAUUUGAUUGUGGUUCCUCCAGGCCACGGAUAUCUGCUGUGGAGUGUGGACGAAGGAGAUCAAUUUCCAGGAAAUCCAUUUCAUUUAAUUGGGGUUCCUGUUCAUAGACAGGGGGUGAAAGCGAAUGCAACCAUGUGCCUGAUGUGAUUGUAAUUUUGUUUUUAUUAUUAACAUGAGUAUUAGAGCAAUUUCUAUAUAUCAUGAUUAAUUAUACAGGCUUUAAAAUUAAUAAUUAUAUAAAUUAUUAAUAGCUGUAAAGUUUAUUUGAGAUAGCUAAUUGAAGUUAAAGGCAAGAUAAUUAUUAAGAGUGUUUAUUGUCCUAUUCAUUUCAUAAAAACAUAAUCUGAAAUAAACUAAAAAUCAAUUCAACCAGCUUUAAUUAGAUUCAUUUGAAAUCAAGAAACCAAACAGCUUGAUAAGACCUGCAAAAAGCUAAGGGAUAAUUUGAUAUUAAGGAUAAUCUAAUUAAAGGAAGUUUACUUUUCAAAAAAAAAAUGAGAUGAAACAAUUACAAACAUGUAGUAUAAUUUCAAUUCACAAAAGAAAAAAAAAAGGGUCAUCUCAGUGGAACAACAUAAAAAAGCAAAAGAAAGUUUUUUCAAAAGUGAAUGAAUGAUCAAUGUUUUUUAUUUUUUUCAAAAGCUUCUAUAUAAUAAUAAAUAAUAACAGGAAUAUAAAAAUAAUGACUAGUCCCUGACUUGAUGUAGUUCAAUCCGUUUUAGAAUUUUAAAACUGAAAUUAAAUCGAAUCGAAGUUUUUUUUUUUAAAAUUAGUUUUUUAAGUUUUUUUUCACACAAAAUAACGAAAAAGGUCUGCUCAGUGGGACAACAUAAAAAAGGAAACGAAAAAUUUGGUCAAAAGUGCAUAAAUGAAUUGACACAAACAUGGGUAAAUUCAGGGGUUUUGUGUUGUGCCGGUGGUGGAAACAGUUUUUGUUGCUUGUAAAUAUGCUCAAGACUUGUAUAGAGCAUCACUUUCGAGUUGUGUACGGUGAUCUUUGUGAUAUCUAUCCAUUAAUAUAUAGUAUUUAAUUUUCGAGAUGAUAUAUUAUUUUAAAUAAAAUAUGUAAUAAUUAAAAGAAUAAGAAUCAAAUUUGAUAAAUAAAAAAUUUUAAUUAAAAAAUAAUAAGAGAAAAGUAAAUAACAAUCAUAAAAAUAAAAAUAAAAAUUAAUAUAAAAAUCAAAUUAAAUCAAAUUUGAAGGGAUAAAAUUAAAAAAAAAAAGAUUCAAACAAAAUAUAUAGCAAUCAAAAGUUUGAGGAUCAAAUUUGACAUAAUUAGCAAGUAAUAUGAUAUUUCUAAAUUUUUCACAACUUUUAGAAAGUGUUUUCGGCCUAAAAUAAAAGAAAAAUACUUUCCUGAAAAUCAAGCUAAAUUUUUCGUUGAUCAGAAAGUUUUUUUUAUUGAUCAACUUUUUUAAUAAUAAAUAAACAUAAAAAAAUUUGGAAAAUAAUUUCCCAAAAACACUUUCCAAUAAACACACCCUACAUAAACAACUCAUUUUAGAUGUUAUCUAUGCAUAAUAUAUCUGGUGUUGCACUCUUUCCAAGCUAAUUUCAUGUGAUAUGAGAUAUAUAAAUAUUUAAGAUUAGUAAGUAACAAACAUACACAAAUAACAAUUCAAAAUCACACCCAUGAACAAUCACACAAUACACUCUUUUAAGUUCUUCUUUUCAUUGUUAUACAUUAUUUUAAGCAACAAUCUCUUAUCCAGGGAUUUACUAUAGUCGUAUUUGAUGGGCACAUCGCAGAAGCUUCCAAUAAAUGCAGUUUGGAGUUAUUUUAUUAUUCAUAAUAAUAAAGUGUAACAAGGGGCUCUAUAUUCAGUUAAACAAAUAGAACGCAGAAGGUGAUAAAUGUUAAUAUUUCAUUUCAAAAGCUUCAAUGUAGAUUUUUUUUUUCAAGAGCAUUUGAUGUGCAGCGUUAUAUUUAACCCCCACUCUUAUCACGUUUAAUUAGUAUUUAAAUUAAAUAUAAAUAUAGAAGUUCUUAUGAUUGAUGCUGCUAUCCACUGAGAGAUUACGAUGAAAAGAAAAGAAAUUAAACCUCGUCGUAUUAUAGAAAUACUGGGCACAACUUUUGUUACCCCUAAAUUAUUAUACAAGCUCGACUCACCAUUACCUCAUAUUCAUCCAUGUAGGUUAUGGUGAGCUGGACUCAUCUAAUAUAGUAAUAUUAACAUAAAAUCUUACCAAGUUAAAAUUUGCAAAGGUAUUUUUUUAAAAAAAAUUCUACAUGUUUUUUUUUAUCUUUCAACAUUUCCCUUCUUAAAGAUCGAGCUUCAUAAUUUAUUGAUGUUUUCUUUUUAUAAGAUUAUUUUAGUUUUAUGACCCGUAUUGCGAUUUUAGCCGGUAUUGCGAGUUUCGCAGAUUGACCUAGAUUUUUUUUUUUUUAAUUUCAUCAUUCAAUAUUGGAUUGAUUAUGAAUUAAGCUUCAUGAUUUAAUUCAGUUUAUUUUCUAUUUUUUUCAAAAAUUAUAGUUUAUGAUAACACUUUAUAUCCUCACUAACACAUAUAAAAAAGUCCUACAAAAAUAUCUAAUUAUUAACAAAAUUAUUAUUAUUAUUAUUAAACUAAUAACUAUAAAGUUCUUAUUUUAAAUAUUAUAAAUUUUUCAUUGAAUUAAAAAAAAAAACUUAGUCACCACCCUCUUAACCAAACCAAAAAACAAAAGAAAUCCAUAAAUCAAGUUUAGAAUCUCAAACUUCAAUAUUCCUAUCACAAACAACCAACUUUGAUGUUCCCAUCACAAACACUAAUUCCUCUCCCAUUGCAAUUAUUCCAUCUCAAACCUUUGACUAGGGAGUGUUUAUUUAGUUAAACUCAAUUAUUUCUUGGGUCUAGCCAGCGUUAGAUCCAACACGUGUUGGCUUGACACAUUACCAAUUAAGCUCAAUCAUGGUUAGGUCUAAUUAACGCUAGACCUAUCAAGAUUUGGAUAUGGCGGUGGCUAGACCUAGUCAUUUCUUGGGUCUAGCUAGUGCUAGAUCCACCGCGCCUAGGUCUGGCUAACACCAGACUCAAUAUGUUUGGGCUUGGCGCAUUGCUAUUUAUAAACGAAGCAAGUUCAAUUUUGGUGUAAAUAUUGAUGUAGAUUAUAUAUAUUAAUGUUUAUGUAUUUAUGUGUUUAUAUAGUUGUAAAUAUAAAUAAUAAAAAGUGUUGGCGCAUCUAAGAGAAAAGUAUAGAAGUUUAUUAAUUAAUUAAAAAAAAGUACCUCCCGAAAUUCAUUUUCUAUUUCAAAUCAUGCCUACCAAACCGACAAUUUGUUAGGCUUAUAAAAACAAACUAUUACUAAAUUAAUAUUUUUGAUAGGGUAUGGAUAUUGUGUAUUAAUAUUUACAUGUAUGUUGUGUUUGUUUAGAAUUUUGAAUAUAAAAAUGUUAAAAAUAUAUUUAACUAAAAAGAUAAAAAGAAAAUUAUAGAAUUCAAAACAUAAAUUAUAUUGUGAUAUAUUUUCUGUCUUUUUUUUUAUUGAAUUUAAAAAUAAUGAGUGAACUUGGAGCAAUCCAACCACAAAAAGAAAAUGACAUAGGGGGAGGGUAUGUACGUAGUGGGAGAAGCAACUAAAUAUAGGGGAAGAAAAAAACAUUCAGCUUAUUUACAAAUCAUUUUCAAAAGAAGGAAAAUUGAAAAACUCUAUUUCUGGCCUCUCAGGUAAAGGAACCUGAAUGAAGAAAUUAAACGAGAAAGGUUUUUUAAUUUUCCUGCAGGGAGAGAGAGAGAGAGAGAGAGAGAAACCUGAAGAGAGGAAAUUAGGGAUUAGGGAUUUGGAAGCAUUGGAAAUUUAUAUAAAAAAUAAUUAAAAAAAAAACAUUAUUAAAAGUCUAGCUAAUCAAUCAUAAGUCAUAACUUCAAAAGUGCAACGCAAAAAUUAGAGCAAUUUAAUUAUAGGCUCAAAUUGUACGUAAGAAAUUAAUCAGUUUCGGCUAUUUUAGCUUGUGACCAGCAGUACAUGCUAUACUACUAGCAGCAUCAUAUUAUAGGUUCAAUAUUUUUUGAAGCAUCUGCCUGUCCCAUAAAUCUCAAGAACAUGAACAAAAGCCAUGAACCUGGCUGCCUGCAGACAGGAAUGUUUCUGUAUCUGUUGGUAUUUAGCAAACAUAUCUGUCCAUAUAGACUUUGUUAAGCUCUAGUUUGUAAGUUUAUAUAAAUUGCUGCAAACUUCCUGUUCCCAUUUCCAUUUCCAAAGCCACGAGCUGCUCAACAACAUUGUAAUCAUUUUGCUUUCUCUUGUGAGACUGCUAUUGCUAAAAGAAUUAUCAAUAAAUAUCUUCCGAGAAGUGGUUUACAGAGAUGGACUUUCUUCCUCUUCUUCUGUUUACUCUUUCCCUUUCAUUUUUUCCCUUCCUACCAAGUAGAUAGGUGUUUAACUUGAAGAUUAUGAGGGUUAUUUUACGCCCGAAUCGUGUACAGUAUUUGUGAAGCUUAUUUUCUUAGCGAACUAUAUUGUUUUUCUUUUUGGUUUCUAGCUGUAUGGUUAUGGUGAUUAUGUCGCUUUCCAUGUCAUAGAAUCCGUGGAUAUCUGGGAAAAUCUCAUUCAUUGGGACUUCAAGCAUGCAGUUGUUGACAGCUUCCUUGAUUGUAGAUGAUGGGGAACGUUGUUUAACAAUUUGUUCUCUCUUUCCCAGUUCUCUAGUUCAAAAGAAAUGGAGAUGCCUAUCUUUAUGAUCUCGGCAGCACGCAUGGCACCUUUAUUAACAAGAAUCGGGUCAGCAAAAAUACGCUUUUUAUAUUUAAAUUGUAUGCGUUUCUUAAAAGGUCUGAUGCAAGUGAUUCACUGAUACUGUCGAGGGAACUUGUGAUGUGUGAUCCAUCACAUGUUAUCCAAUAUAAAUGUGGCAAAUAUUUGUUAGUAGUCUGUCAUACAGUUAUGUAAUCUUGCUUGAAUAGCAAGGACGCAUCAAUUGCUGUAAUGUAUCAUGUGUUGUAGGAAGUUGUCCGGAAAAUUCUUAGAGAUGCUAAGAUUCGGCAAGCCUCACUCCAACGAGCAAGGUUGGGAGCAGCUCUUGCUGAUGGUAUCUCAUGGGACAUGGGAGAAGUAGUUGCUAUUGAAGAAGCUGAGGUUAUUGUCAGUCCAUACAUUUUCUGGAUGUAAUCUUGUGAGAAUUAUUGUUUUUGGCUUUUUAUUACUGUCAGCAGAUACGACUUCUCUUUUGUCCACACUUUUCCCUAAGCUGCUCUGCAAUAAAUAUAGAACAAGUGAGAUUACCUUUGUAUGCACUUUUGUGUAAAGAGAAUUGCUUAAAACUAUUAUUUGUUCUGUAUGAAGCAUGCAUGUUGGACAAUAGUAGUGUUCAUUUAUAGUUGUCAACACUCUGCCAGCCUUACCUCCUUGUUUCCUCCUUGUACAGAAAUGAUGCUUUUUUAGAAAUCCAGAAAAAGAAAAAAGAUAAUCAUUGAGAAUUUGUUGUUCAAUCCCACCUAGGAACUUGAAGACCAACUAGUUUACGUACUCGUGUCAAAUUUACCUCCAGGUCUAUUUCAUUUUUUGGAAUUAUCUGGUAUACCAGAACUUCUAUAAAUCCUAAAUUAGACUCUUUUGCAUGAUAAAAAGCCGAUACUCUUCUCUGUUUGUUUAUGUUGUUUUGGAUAACUAGGAUGAUGUUGAUGAAGUAGCAUGGCACACUACAAAGGGCAGCUUACAGAGAAGCAGGAGAAAACCCGUGAUAAAAUAAUAAAAAGGUAAGUGGUUUUACGUUUCAUACUUCGAGUUCCUCAUUUCUAGAUAUUUGAUGUCAAACACAAUGAUGAUUUCGCUAGCCUUGAACACGAGACCAAUCUGCAUCCAGUUUUUCAAUCCCCUUCAGAUUUAUGUUCUAGUGUCAUUUAAAAUGUUCAUCCUGUUACCUAUACUCCAAAUCGAAGGGCUAUUUUUAGUGAUGACUUCUUUCCUUUUCUCUUUCUUCUCACUGUCAUGCCUUGCUUUUUCGCUGGUAUUAGAAGUGUUCAAUCUAAAUGGUUGUAUGGUUUAUUGAUGGAGAAGAAAAAACAUUUCAUCAUCGCUGCAUUAGUCGCUCAUUUCCUGAUUUUCUUGUCAGUGCUGAAUAAACUGUGCAGCUCGGAAAGGAACUAGCCUUUCUACAAUCUGAACUGGGCAGGAUCUUGUUUCUAUUGAAGAUUGCUGAUCCAUCAGGAGAAGCUGAUCAGAAAAGGGAUUCGCGAGUGAAGGAUAAGAAACCUGAUAAAGCAGAGGUGCCUGUUUCUGCCACCAAAAAGCAACCACCCACCCAGGGGACCAAAGAAAAGUAGUGCAUCGGGAAAAUUGACCGAUGUCUCCAGACUAGAUUGUCAUUGAUGUUUUUGGUGUUAAAAUGAAAAUUAUCAGGGUGUUAUAAUUAUAAAAUUUUUACUAUAUUAAAAUAGUAUUUGUAAAUAUUCAUGAUUAAUAUUCUAUUAAAACUGAACACUGAAAAAAAAAAUUAUUCUCAUAAACUGAAAUAUAAGAAAUACUUAGAAUUAAUAUGCAGAUGUUUGUCAAAUGAUAAGUAUAAUGAACUGACUCUUAAGAAAAUUUCAUAUAAAAAUAUCAUUUAUAUUCAUAGAAAGGCUCACGUGAUAAAUAUAUAAGUAAUCAUUAGAUUUGAAAUCACUAAAUUAUCAUAUAUAAAAAUUAUUAUAUUUUGAUCUUGACCACAUGUUAUCAUAAUCAAGGGUAACAAACAAUCAAAUAUUAGACAUAACAAAUAUUUCAAAAAAAAUUUGACAUCACAUUAAUCUUUUCAAGCAGUUACUCUAAAAAGUUACCUAAAACUUAUUUUAUAACUAAAACGUGCAAACACAAUAAACUCUCCUUGAACCUCAUUUAAAAACUUAUUUGAAUUUAUUAUGUUACUCACACUUGCAUCUUCUUCAUAUGGUUUAACUAAAAAGUUUUCAAAAAUUCAACAACUAAACGAGACAAAAUAGAGUCUUUCUUGAUUUUUUUUUCACAAACUCACUUGGACUUAUUGUAUAAAGUCCAUUUUCUUUCACACUAUUUUUUCUUGUUUUUAUGAUCAGGUCUUAGAGGUAAUCCAAUAAGUUAGAUAUUUCUAUUCUUAAAAAUAAAAGAACAUGAAUAUAAUUUACUAGAAAUAGUGAUGGCCAUAUCAUAUAGCCAUGACCUAUUCAAAAUGACAUAUUGUAUAUCUAUUGGAUUCAUAUCACACCAAAUUUUAUAAUGAUAAUCUAAGAAUUUGAUAGAAAAAAAAUAUAUUUCUCUGAUUGCUACUAAGGUGGUGUUAAUCCAUGAUAUGUUAUAUGACUUAUAAUAUGUAAUAGACUUUAAAUCUAAACGAGUUACAAUAUUAGAAAAUACUACAUUAAUACAACUUUUAUUAUCAAUGGUCAUUUUGCGACUUUUAUCCACACACUUGAUAUAGGUUUGAAAAAUAGCAAUCAUUCUCCAAUUUUCAGUUCUCUCGGGUAAUGUCAAGGCACAUUUGACUAUACCUAACCUAGUUGUCACAAACUCUAUAGUAUUAUACUCACGAUUGAUUCUAAAGAUAUCACUCAAGAUUGAGUCUAUAAUAAUUAUAAAUUUACAUGACAUAAAUACAAGCAACACUAGCUUAGCUUGUAGAUCACAAACAUAUCUUUUAAGUAAAAACACAAUACAAAAAUAAAGCUAUUUUUUUUAAAAAAUAUGAAGAUUAAUCAAGAUUAUAAUAUAUAUAAAAAACCUAUGAACAUGCAAUACUAAACCUUUAAAUGUAAAAGGGUCAACCAAACACUUAUCUCAACUUUUUACAAAUUUAGGCAACUUUGAUAAAUAAUAAAAAGGAUUAGUUGCUAAAUAUUAAUGACAAAGUUAGUUGAUAAGUAAAAAUAUAUAGAAUAAAAUGAAAGAUGGGAUUUUUCUCUAUUAAAUUUAUUUAUUUUAUAGGCAUAAAAAUAAUAUUAAUGACAACUUUGAAUAACAAGUACAAAAAUAGAAAAAUAAAAUUCAACUAAUCAAAAGAUUUUGUUAUUUAUCACCACCAUGCUUGACAGGAUCAUGCAAGUUAAGUUGUUAAUAAUGCAGGUAGCAACGCUCACUUAGUGUUGGAUAACUUGUCUGUUGAUGUCAUUAUUUUUUUAAAAAAAUUACUUUAAUUUUUUUACUACAAUUUUUUUAAUUAAGAUAGAAGAAAGAAGUAAAAAAAAUACAAAUAAAAAUAAUAAUUACAAAAUGGAAAUUUGGCAGAAGACUCAUUUAAUUCCAUUCUCUUUCAUGUCUCUCUCAGAGUUUGAUUUCCUGUGUUGUUAUGAUCCUCAUACAAAUGAACAGAGUAUGGCUAUUGCUGGUAUGGAUUGAUUUGUAAUGGUGAAUCUCAAAUGCGGCCAUCUGGUGGUUGUUAGUGUUUUGUUUUCUGUAUGUGGUGGUGGCUAAUGGGUGUUGCUUUGGUGGUUAAGAAGAUGCAUUGGAACUAUGGUGGGUCACAAUGAUCACAAGUCUCUUCAUUCAUUCUUGUUCAAUGCAAGAACCCAGCGAAGCCUAUUCCCAGAACAAAAUAAAUAUGCUUGCUAUACAACAGCAUUCAGAGCUGUGUCAAAACUCACAGACCAAAUGAAGAUCUUCAAUGCUUGACGACUCCUUUCUAGAUACUAUAUACAAUAGAGAGGUUAGUCUCUAGCAGGAAGUUCUUCAUUAGAUCACAGGUUUCCAUAGCCAGGCUUGGCAAGGAACAAAGAAUUAAUGACACCCAUAAAAGAAGGGGGCCACGUUGGUGUAGCAAUGAGAGGAGGAGCCCUUGCACUGAAUCAGUUAAAGAAAUAAGGUGAUUCCAACACUUCCCUCAGCUCAAAGUCUCCCCGGUCAGGCAAGGGCGGAAAAGACAACGUGGGAAAAGACUUUUCAAAGCUCUCCAACAACUGCAUACAAAUCCAACAGUAUAAAUGAUGAGUUCUGCUAAAAAAGAAAAAACCCUCAGACUUGGAUUUGACACUGCACAAUUCUUUUAAAUGCUAAUUCAAGUUGAAAUUUAUAGGCAUUUUGUUUUAUCCCAAAACAUAAUUGAAACAGCAGAUGAGAACAUAUUAUAAGGAAUGCUUUAAUUAACUGCAACAAGUGUUGUUUCUUUAAACAUAUGGUACGUAUCUCUUUUCUUUGUUUUUUUAUUCACAACCAAAACAACCGCAAUCGAAUAAAGCUAGUAAAAAAUAGUUAAUUUCCUCUUAUCCGCUCUGCCAAAUAAACUUCAAAAAUAUUGCAUUGGGUUUUUGCCUCCUGCAAAUAUAUAAUGAUGCCAAUGAAGGGGCCAUUGCCCUUAUAAGUUUUAGAACAAUAUAGCAGUGCUAAUACUUACAUUCUCCAAUAUAGGUGUUUCAUAGAGUUCAACAAAUUUUUCCCUCAGUAUCCUGUUCAUUUCUUCCACAUCACAUGCAUGCGUCCAAUAUGAAUCGUGAACUCCUGUGAUGGUAUGCCAAUAUGCAGUAAUGAGAAAUCAAAACUAGGAAUAGGACAGCAAUUGAGACAAAAUCCAGCUAUGAGUGAGAAACCUGCAAAGUUUAAGCCUGCCCCUUUGCAGGCAACUGCAGUCAUCAUCAUAUGAGAACUAUCAAGGGAAUGAACAAAAUUUGGUGGGAAAGCUGUUCCCCCUUUGUUUUAGUAUUUUGGUCACAGUCCAGACUAAAUAAAGUAAAAGAACUGCCAAACUUUGAGAUCCAAGAGCCAGAAGGUACAACCUUUUCCCCCUUUGUUUUAGUAUUUUGGUCACAGUCCAGACUAAAUAAAGAAAAAAAUCAGGGCAAUUUAGCUAGACAAAAAGCCAAGGCACCCACUGAAGCCUACCAGAAAUCAUGUUCAGAAAAAUUGGUUCAGAAAAUUGGGAAACAGCUAGCAGAAUGUACCAAUGUAUACUAUAUCUGUGAUGUUUUGUAAUAAAAAGGAAUGAGAAAAUACAAUAAAGCCCUUGGAGGCUUAAAGAGAGGGUAAAUGAUUGAAGGGUAUUGUGGUAAUUGACCAAUAGUUGAUAAAUAUAUAUAAGAAAAAAAAAAAAAAGAAUGAUCUGAUUUUGAGAGAAAGAGAGUUACGGGAGAAGAGAAGAAAAGAGGAAGAAGAAGAAAAGAAAGGAGAGAAGGAAAGAAAGGAGAAAAGAAGUAGAGGAAAUAAGUAAAAAGGUAAGAUUUAUGGUUUUAAGUGUAUAAUAUGUUAAAUUUCGGUUUUGAUUAAUUUUGAGAGUUUUGAAGUUUGUAUUUUGAGUUAAUUGAUGAAUUAGUUUGAAUUAAGGGGUUGAUUGAUGUGGAUAUUUGAUUAAUUAGUUGAUUUUGAGAGAUUGAAUUAAAGGAUAAUGAUUUUGAGUUAUGAUUUUGUUUAAAUGGUGAAAUUGUGUUAGAAAUCAGGGGAUAACAGUAGGUGAUCUGUUGAAAUUCUGAGUUUGAGGUUGAAGAUGACGAAAAUUCAGUUUGGUCCCUCAAUUUAUGGAAAUUGCAGUUUAGUCCCCGAACUUUGGAAAUUUUACAGAUUGGUCCCUGGGGCAUAAAUUGAGGUUCUGAACAGAACUGAGGAUGAUUUAAGGACAAAAUUCCAGUAUAAUUAAUAUUUUCAGUUUGGUCCUCCAAUUUGACAAAAAGUAUAAUUUGACCCUAAAAAUUUGGUAAAGUUCCAGAAUGGUCCUUGGAGCAUAAUGAUAUAUCCUGGACAGAAUUGAGGAUUAAUUAUGGACAGAAUUUCAGUAUGGUUAUAUAUUUACAAUUCAGUCCUCAAAUUUUGGUAAAAUUACGUUUUGGUCCCUGUUUUGGAAAAUUGUCGUUUUAGUCCCUAAACUUGGGAGAUUAAGCCCGGUUUAUUUUAUGCUUUGGGAUCUUUUGUUUGAUCUGUUUUUGAGUAUAUUUCAUAUAUUUAUUGUAGGUUCUCCUAACGAUCCUUAAUCGAUUUCCGGGUCUUUUGUCUGACAUUCCUUUUAGUUCUAUAUUGUCCGGGUGAGUGAAUAAUCUUUAAUAUGCAUAUAAUAUAAAUAAAUAUGUAUGUUGAUUAUACAAUGAGUACGACUAGUAAGUUUCUUGAAUAUUUAUAUAUGUUGCUUUAUUUUUCGAGUACUCAUUUAUUCUUGAAUUUGCAUUCGCAAUCUGUCAAAGUAAAUUCUAUUUGAUAUGAUAUACGUUUCUUUGAUGAUUAUGUGAAUAUCUGUUAUGCCUUGAUAUGGGACUUGUCAGUACUCCAUGCUAACGGAGAAUAGUUAGCCUGUGUGCACAUAGUAUUCUGUUACCUAGCUGGUGAGAGAGGCAUCAGCCUGUGGCAUUGAUCAUCCCAUAGUGGUCACCGACGGGUGUCAUCUGGUCACCGACGGGUGUCAUCUGGUCACCUUCGGGUGUCAUCUGAUCUCUGACAUGUAAUCCACUACGUUAUGAUAAUAUGUUACGUUAUGAUAAUAUGUUUAGUAAGUAUAUGUAUACGUAUAUGUAUAUUAAGAUAAAUCAUCUUACAAAUUAUAAUAUCUGAAAUAUCUGAAAUGUAUAUUAAAUGUUAUUCCCCUCACUGAGUUGGUUGAACUCACCCUCAUUUUUAAUAUUAUUUCAGGUUCUUAUUCUUAGUUUCUGAUAGCAGUUGGACUUUGUUGAGUGUUUCCGCUUCUUCAGUUCUGGUCGGUAUGCCUUGCUUGUUCGCGAGGUUUUCCUUUCAGUUUUGAUUUGAUGUCUUAGACGCUCCACUAUUACCUUAUUUUAAUUACGUUUGGAUUUUGACAAUGUAAAUGUAUUAUGAAUUAUUAUUUUUGUUUUAAUAACUAUCUUUCGGUUUUAUCAGUAUUUGAAUAAUAUAAUAUUUCUGAAUAUUAUGAGCCGCUGCGUAUUUUGGAACAAAUUGUUCUUUUGAUAUGUCUGUUCUGAGGCUUAGCGUAGGUGAGGUGUCCUUUCGACACCGCUCCUGCGUUGCCGGUCACGGAUCCGGGAUUCGGGUCGUGACAAUAUCCUCAAACAACAUUUCAGCAAUAAAAACAGGUUAUUUCAGAUUUUUCACAAUUUCUUGUGUUAUCAAAAUCUUAGCACAGACUCGAAGUCAAAGUAAAUAUUAUGGAAUCUUGAUUAUCAAAGCAGAAACGAGCAACAAAGAUAAGUAACGUUACCUUGUCAGUUUCUUUUUGUAGUAUUAAAACCUGUAGGGAAGUUUUGAUCUGCAGCAAUUGCACAAAAGGAAGAUAAGAGUACUCAAAAUGCCCUCUCUAUCGAUAUGAAUGUAACAAAAUGCGAAUCAUUUUUUUUUUUUCCUGUCAGUACUAUAUGAUCUACUAUGCUUCUGCAAAUGUUAUAGAACUCACACUUCGCGUCCCUAAUUUACGAUAAGGUUGUACAACAGGAAGUCCUAGGGGAGUUGUCCACCGCACUGGCUCAUUUUCAGAUGCGAUAAUCUGGUCAGGUAAAAUGCAAAGAGAAAAUGUAAACAGAAUGUCAGUUGUUGGUAUAGAAACUAGAUAAAAAAAUAACCAAAAAAGGAAAAUCAACAUAAAGGAAAAACAAAUAAAUUGAGACAGACUCACCUUUGCACAAUCCCCAAGCCAGUUCAUGAUACUUCGUGCAGCUUCAAACAUCUCUCCUAAGGCAGUUAAGGUCACCUGAUCAAGCAACAAUAUAAAAUAUUGUCAGUGACAUGUUCUAUGAAAAAGAGUAAAGCUAAGGAAUUAUGAAUCAUCACUGUUGGGACGCUCCCUUCACACCUUUGCAGCAUAGCAAGAACAACCAAAGAUAUCUGACUCCUCUGUGAUACCACGCUCCUUUAACCUCCUUUUGAUCUGGUCUCUAGCACCAAUGUAAGUUACACCAUAUACAGAUGUCAUCACUGUCUGUUUCACCAAUUUCCUAUCCACCUAGAUGGAGUCAAACCACCAUUAGUUUGAAAGUAAAAGAACUUAUUCACAUUGAAAAAUGGCAAGGUACACCCUAUCUUUUGAAUGGGCCAAAAAAAAAAGGAAAAGCAUGAAACAGUGUUGACCCAAUAGUAACUAAGCAAUCCCUUAGUGACAGGAGACCACUAUGAUCAACAAUCAAAGCAUGCAAAAAACCUGGUUUAUUAAUUCUUUUGCACGCAAUGCAUCAGGAAAAACAUCUGGAUCUUUCUGUGCAUCCCUCCGCAUGAUAUCAAGUACUCUGCUUCGCAAAAGUGCAUGUUUAUCAUAGCAUCCUUUUGCAGAUAUCUGCUUGCUUCACAUCUAGAAAUGCACUACAGAAAUAUAGGAUUGAAAAAGAAAAAUUCUUGUAGAGGCUUUACAAAUUUGGCUCCAAUCAAACAUAUCCAAUGAAUACUACAGGACUUUGACUACUGCACAUGAAGGGCUAACAUAUUUAUCUGGUCAAAGGCCAUGAAAUAAGAGCAUUGCUGACUAAAGUUUUGCUUUGAUUGAAUUGAAACAAAUUAAAGUUCCUAAUUUAAGCAGAAAUAUGAAGCUUCAAUUGGAUGUUACUACUUCAUUACAAAUACCUGGAUUUCCUUGAAAGCCAGAAAACUCGGCCAGUGAAAUACAUUCUUCUUUUAGUUUUGUGAGAGUAGGGCUUCCAAACUCUUAGUCUUUGGGAUGAUAAUGUUAAUUGCAGAUUUCUAUUCGAUCCAAUACAUGCUGGUAGGUAUGCUUCAGAAAAACUCGGACCCAAUUAGGAAGCAUUUUUGGUUUAUAUCCCUAGGAUCAUAUUUGCGGGUCAUCCUAUUAAGAGUUGGUUAUAAAUCUAAAAAUUCAGAUUCUGUCCUCAUGUAAUUAAAUGGAACUUCAGAUUUAAAGAAGAGUAUCCCUUUAUUAAGCCCUCUAACCAAGAGUUUCCACAAUUUUCAGCACAAGUUCUUUAGUUCCUCAAAAAAUCUCUGCGUUUUCAAAUCUUCGACCUAAUCUUUAAAUCAGUCUGAGUAAAAACAACCAGCUCCAUUGGUUUGCUUCAACAAAAGCUCAUCUUAGCUCAAAUCUUUUCUACUGUAUCAUGAGGAAACCCCUUACCUAGCAGCUAUUCCCGAGUAGACAUCUGCAGGCUUCUCUCCUGCAACUAGAUUAACAGCAGCUGCUCCCAACUGUUCAAGAUUCCAAUGAUUUAACAAAAGCAGAGGGAUUCAAAAUAUAAUCAAAUGCAUUACUUUCCUAUUCAAAAAUAAAAACGAAGUUCAAAAAAUAAAAGUUUGCAGACCACUUCUAAAAAACACGACUUGAAUUCAACAAUGAUUGGCAUCAGCACAGUGCCUUAGGAAACGAAAAUCAGACAAAAAGAUGGUUUUGUUUAUCAGCAGUAAUCAUAAAGAAAAGAAAAACUUCAUAACAUCAUCCAAUUCAAGUUAAGGACGUUACCUUGUCUCUUCCAAGUGCAGCGUAGUGUUGUAGGCCAUUGCAGGAACCAUCCUACAAAAAACCAUAAGAGGGAAGGUGUACAUCAGAAGGCAGAACAGGUUAUGAGAAAAAUUAUAGGCCAGAAGAACAAAGAUAAGCCCAGGGAAGAGUACUUAAGUUGAUUGUCCCACAUAGUCCAACAGUUUUUUAUGUAAUAGAACCAAUAGAAACCACUUAAGCUUAUCAUUUUAUUUGUUUUCCUAAAGCAUACAAGGUACAAUAACAAAGAAUUUUGACUCUCCUUUUACCAUUCAUCUUCCUAACACCUCUGCCUCUCUCAAUCCAUUCCCUAACAUUCCAGUAAAAUUGUGCUCAAUUGGGUAGGAUGCUUUACAAUCCUUAAAAAAUGUCCAUAAAAAGUUUAUAUGAGCACAAUGCAAUACAUUGAUAAGAUAUACCUGAUGAACAGGAAUAUGUGAAAUAUAUGUUUCUGGCGAGGAGCUUCUCAAAGCUUCAGUCAGGUUAAUGCACACAGCCAAGAACUGAAAUGGAUCUUCUGCAUGCAACCACCAACGCUUUCCGUCAAGUGGUUUGUCUGCAGAAUCAAAUAUAUCAUCAAGGUGAUUCUCAGUAAAAGCUAUCCGUCCCUCAUAAGAUAGCUUGUCUACACCACCAGCAAAUAGAUUUGCAAUGUGUAUCUUCAGCCAGCGUAAGCCUGACUUUCCAAGAGGGCAUCCCUCUGCGAACUCCAAAAUCCCCCGGCACAGAUCUGAUCCAAGAUGGUUUAAGUAUGGGUGCAUGGGGUAGGCACGCCCACGAAAGUCAAUAUUGUGUGGAUAAUAGAAACCUUCUUCAUCUUUCAUCUUCCGUGCUACCUGGAGCCAAUUAAGAAUGAUGGCAUGAACGCCAUCAAGAAGAUUGAAAGUGUACUGUCUAAAAUAAAGUAAAAUGAGUCUUACAGCAAGUUUAAGUUCUAUGUCACAACGCUGUGCAUGUCUUUCCCUGUUCUCUUUUUUCACUCCUCUGAGUUUCCACUUCCACUUCUUAAGUAGUGCUUCAUCUUCUGUUUCUGGCUUCUCAGGCAAAGGAACCUGAAAUAAAGAAAUUAAAUGAGAAAGGUUUUUUAGUUGCUAUAGACAUCAUGAUCAAUUCUUGGAAUACAAAGGUAAAGGUAAAGGAGUUUAUCAGAAAAAAAAAAGUUACAUUGAGGAAAGUUAGAAAAGAUACUCACAUCACUGUGGUCUACCAAAUCAGCAAGAUGACCUCCAUUACUCCAUAUUCUAUCAACAACACUAAGUACCCUCUUAUUUACCCUCCAUCUGGUAUUCCCUAGUGUAUCCAGGGCCUGGAAAAUUAAUUCAAACAAAAGAGAAUCCUUGUUAAACCAGAAGCUAAGCUGGUAAAAUCUACACAUGUGAUAGCAUGUGAAGGUAUACACAAUUAUCAGUAUAAGAUUGUGUUCAAAGAACAUCACAUGUUAGUACCAAAAGAUGAUUUAGUUCAAACAAUAAAAUACGCAUCAGUAACCAUGCAAUGCAUCUAAUGUGUACAGACCUCAAAAACUGGUCGUAGCUGCUUCCUAGGUGCCCUCUUAACUGCUUCACGUUGCUGUUUAGCACCAUGUAUCCGCAUGACAUAGGAUGGUAAGAACAAGUGAGCUCCUUUAUCAUAACUGCAAAGGGCAUUGAGGUUAUGCUCGACAUGAGUAAGAGAGAGGUAAAUAUCACAAGCUAUGACACAAUUAUCUAAGAAGAGCUUAGAACACACCAAAAAGCUACUUAAAUGUCAGGUCCUGAUUUGUUACUAGAAGCAAUAGUGGUGUUAAGAGUUGCUACAACUACAUGGGAACCAGAAUCCAACCACAAACUCAUUAAAUGCCAGAUUAAAGUAGCGUAUGUAAGGAACAUGUAUGAAGAAUUUGUAUCUUCCAAAUUUGUAUACAAGGAUCUAAAAUUAAUUUUAGUGGGGACUAUGCUAAUGUGCCUCCUGCAACUUGCAUGAUGAUUGAGUGAAAUAGCCAAGACCCACUAUAAACUUGCUGGUAAACAAAGUGCUCUUUCCCCAAAACCAAUUCAUGAAAUGGUUUUCGUCUGAUGCUCCAUCUGAUCAAAUUAAGAUAUUCAGAGUGCAAUCACUGGUUUAAAUCUUUUCUUUUUGUAGAUAGAAAGUGUGUCCAAGAAUCUCAGUCCUAAUGGGCAAUUUACAACCAAAAGCGCUAGGGAGCUUAUCAGAUUUAAAGGCAAUAGGUUGAAUGGCAGAAGCUGCCAUAGAGGCCUCUUCAUAUUCCAAAGCAUGUGUAGUUUUUCCAAUGAGGAUUGUGAUCACCUAUUCAAGAAAAACUUAACCAAAGUCCAUGAAAAACAUAUCCUAACUAACUUGCCAAACAAUAAGGUUCAAAAAUCUCAGUUUGACAGCAGAGAUCUGUCUGUGCCCAUUUCUCCCAUGUAAUCAUCUGUUGUCUCCUUGCGCUUCUGGUACAUUUGAAAUUUGAAAUAAAUACCUAUAUAUGAAUCAUCACCUAAAGAAACUAAACUACUACAAUCAAGUUCUCUAUGUACUAUCCUAAUCCUAAAUUAACUACAUGUCUGACUUCACAUGAAAACAACAAUUCGAUACUCUUAUCUUUUCUUGAGCUUAAACCACAGCAUCCUUGUAGAAAACCUAACACCUUUUCUUUCUCUAUAUUUUAUCUCUAACUGCCAGCCAUUCUUUUCCAUGAAGUAUACCUCUCCCUUUAACAUCAAAAACAUUAUAAUAAAGAAUUCCAUAGCAAUCCCUAAAUUCUCCUGCCUGUGGCAAUAAUGUUCAUUUUCCGGUAUUAGACAUGGCUGUGAUUAGCAAAUGCUCUUCAAUGUUUAAAGACAGUGUUCUCUGUUUUGUUGAGAAUCCUAGACAAAACCUUCCAUCUCAUAUCUCACAUUCACCAUGUUUUGAAUAAACACCUGCAAGACAAUUAGUUUCCCUUCCAAUGGAGGUUACAGAAAUGGAGAGGCAGAGCCUUGAAACAUGCUGAAAUGUUAAUUUCAAUUAACUGAAAUUGGGAUAGGAAUUCCAGUCUUUAUAAUCAGAGAUUCACCCCUUCAUCUAUUAUACCAUUUUAAGCAUUUAACGUGACAUGAAAAUUGAAAACAGCUCCAGGCAUCAAGCAGAAGUAACCAAAACACUAUGUUAAUAUUUCUGAACUUGGAAUAUAUCCAACUAGAAAAUAUAAAAUUAAAACAAGACAAUCGUGGAAAAACUGUAAAUAUAAAACAAGCUAACAUACCCUCUCCAUCUAAGUGGUGGCACCAACAUUGGCAUAUAAGGAAUCACCAUGUGCCUAGCCUGUUUGGAGAAACAACAUUUUUAUGACUUCUUAUGCAAGAAAAAAGAAUGAAAGACAAACAUCUGCAACUUAAGAGGCACCGUGGAAAUUGCCUACAAAUCUUAUCUGUUUCAGCUCUAAAAUCUAGAAACUAAUCUAUCUGCUUUGAAAGUAUAUGGCACCCUGACACAAGUUCAUGUCAUAAAGGAUGAUAAAAUAUGAAAACUAGAUAUCACUAGAAGAACAAAAUAUGACAGGGUUACUCACAGUUUUCUCUAGGCCUUUGAGGACUAGUGGGUCACAUUGUAUAACACCAUAUUUUUUCGCGCACUUCCUGUUUAAGAAAAGGCCAUUGUGCAUCAGUUAGGAGCAAUUACAAGGAAGAAAAGAUAAAUUGAGCUCAUCGAGUCAAUUAAAGAAUGACUCCAUACUUAUUUUCAUAUGACACGGUUCUGAAUGUAUGCACAAAUGCAGGUCGAGGUUCAGAUGGACUAUCAGCUAACUGAUCACAGGGAGGCUGUAUAUAAGCUGUUUGUAACAGCAAUUCAAUUAGACGGCUUCCAACCUGCAAAGCGCAAGUACAGAAAUCAAAUUCGUACACAAUACAUUUGUUCAAGAAAAUUAGCCUUUAUCAAUGAUUACAAGCACACAAACCUUAGCCCUAGCAUCUGCAUUCCAUGGUUUUGAAUCAUCCUUCCCCUUCACAAUCUUCCUCACAGCUGGCAGCUUUUGUUUUUUAAUCAAAUCAGUAACCUUUUUUCUUAGGUUUUCUUGUUCCUUCAUGACAGCAGGGGAUUCACCUUCUACACCAUUCUUGCUAUCAUUAGUAUUUUCCUUUUUCUUCCUUGUUUUCUCCAAGAUAUUGUGUAUUCUAAUCUGUUUCAUCACAGAAACUGUUACAGAUUCAGUCCUCAGUUCAAAGAAAGAGAACAAGACUGAAGAGUUAGGAGUUCCAAAAAAUGGAUUAAGAAUGGUACACCUAAAUAUCUCUUCAUUGUAUAGUUCUUUUUUAAAAGAAAAAAAGGAAACGAAAAGAGGAAGCAGCUCCCAUAGUCAGAAGAGACAGUAGAGCAAAGUGUUGCGCAUGCCCUUAACAUCUAAACUAAGAGAAAAACUUAAACAACUUACAAAACAAAGGCACAAACAAGAACACACAUAAUUGCAUUGAUAAAGAUAAUUGCUGUCCCCAACAGGGAAAUGCAAAAGUAUAAAUCCAUAGUGAAACAAUGUCGAAGGAAAGUUGAAUGUCACUCUUAUUAGUCCACCAUGCCCAUGCUUCGAAGAAAUUGUAGCUCAAAAAAGAAAGGCGUAGUAGAAUAUUCAGCCUAAUAAGGCCCGUGAUAUGAAAAGUUUAACACUUAAUGAAAAAAUUGUAAAAACUUACUAUCUAAAGGAUCUUACACUACAUUGUUUUUCGUACCUACAUUAGUGUCCUCCCUGGAACCAUGAACAGCAGAAGAACUUGGACUGAAAGUAAAAACUAUAGAUAUAUAAAAAUGAAAUCCAGAAAACCCCCAUUCAACAUUCGACAAAACUUUACGGAACGUAACUUCAAAAUCUAAUUUUCCAGGCACUACUAGCUCCAUAGCUGAUUUUUAUCUCAUAAUUGUACAUAGUAACUUUCAUCUUUCUUCCUAGUUCAUCACCUCAGAUGAAGGUUGUCUAAAAGUAAAUUUAAGAAACUUUAGGUUUUCCCUUAUCUUUCAAUAUUUUUAUAUGGGCACUCAUUAUCCUCUGUCUACAAAUCAAACCGCAAGUAAAUCUAAAACAUUAAAAAUUACUUACCUCCUGCUCAAUUGCAUCACCAAUCAUACAAGCAGCAGUCACAACUCUUGCACAUCCAUGUUCCCCACCUGUCAUUACCAUUGCUGCGAGUUGAUGCAUUGCAAUAACAGACAUCUUGUCAGCUGGCAACAGAUCAAAAUACGGAGCAUAACCCUGCCUACUCUUCCCCGUUCUAAUCAACUCCUGCUCUUUCGCAAUUGUGUCUGUAAAAGGCUUAAAUUGUUAAAACUUUGUGGAAUUAUCGAAUUACAUGUUCUGUUUUGAAAUAAUUAAUAGCUUGCUUAAUGAGUCAUUUUUAAGUUUUAUCGAUGGUAUUGCAGAGUGGUAAUUUCUGCUAAUUUAUAUAUAUUAAUUUGUAUGGACGUUGAUAAAUGAUAAUGAAUAUUUAAUAUUUAUGAGAAGUUGUGAUUGGUUUGUUGGAUAAUCUCGAGGUAAAGUAAUAUUUUUGCAAGUUUAUUUACCUAACUUAGUUAAUUAAUACAUGAUGUCAUCAUAAUUUUAUAGAGGUUCGAUAGAAGUCAUGGAUGAUCGUUCAUGGAUGUAUCUAGAUUCACCCCAAGGAUUGCGGAGGAUGGAUUAUUGUAAUGGGGUUUAAGGUUUUAUUAAUUUCGCAACAUCUAUUCCCAGAAAUUUUAUUGGAGGCGGUAUUAGGUGUCCAUGUAGGAAGCGUUAAAAUAAAAAGUAUAUGCAUCCAGAUGUUGUAAUGAUGCAUCUUCUACAGAAAGGGUUUAUGGAGGAUUAUCAGUGUUGGUAUGCACAUGGAGAGGUAUUUGUUAGUAAUAGGAGAAUGGGAGAAACGGUGGUUGGGUCAACUUCUAGUGCUAGCAACGUGCAUGAAGCAGCAAAUGACAAUACUAAUCCUUACAAAAAUAUGGUUAUGGAUGCAAUGAGAAUGAAUCAAGGUAAUGUCAGUCAAUGUCCAAUCAUAAAAGAAGAACCUAAUGCAGAGGCAGCUAGGUUUUUUGAUUUGUUGAAAGAUUUUGACGAACCAUUAUGGGAUGGCUGCACAAACCACAGUAAAUUAUCGGUCGUGGCACAAGUGUUCACCAUCAAGUCAGAUCAUGGGCUGAGUGAGGCCGGGUAUGACAAAAUUAUUGAUUGGGCAAGAAGCAUUUUACCUGAAGGGAACAGGCUGAAAGAGAACUUCUAUGCUGCCAAGUCCAUGAUGAAACCCCUUGGUUUAGGAUACUAGAAAAUUGACAUGUGCCCUAACUUCUGCAUGUUAUACUACCUUGAAAAUGCUGAGAUGACCGAGUGCAUAAAAUGCGGGCAUUCCCGUUACAAACCCAGAACUGGCAGGGGAAAAACUCUAGUGGCGUAUAAAAAACUUAGAUAUUUUCCGAUCACACCUAGACUGUAGAGGUUAUUCAUGUCACGAAGGAUUGCUGAGCACAUGACAUGGCACCAAACAUAUGAUGCGGUUGAUGGUGUAAUGGUGCAUCCUUCUGAUGGCGAAGCAUGGAAACGCUUUAACAAUGUGCAUCCUGACUUUUCAACUGAAUCAAGGAAUGUCCGUCUUGGGUUGUGUACAGACGGAUUCAACCCAUUUGGGUCAUUUGCUGCUCCCUAUUCUUGUUGGCCGGUCAUACUCACAGUUUAUAACUUGCCACUGGGAAUGUGUAUGAGGCCGGAGUUCAUGUUUUUAUCUACUAUCAUACCUGGUCCAAGUAGCCUGGGGCGGAAUAUAGAUGUUUGUCUUCAACCGUUGAUUGAUGAGCUAGCGCAGUUGUGGUCCUCCCGGAGCUCUGACUUAUGAUAUAUCGAGGAAACAAAAUUUCCUUCUGAGGGCGGCUUUGAUGUGGACUAUCAAUGAUUUUCCAGCUUAUGGAAUGCUUUCUAGUUGGAGCACACAUGGGAAACUCGCAUGUCCAUAUUGCAUGGAAAACAACAAGGCAUUCACGCUAGCAACGGAGGUAAAGCUUCUUUUUUUUAUUGUCACCGUCGCUUCUUGCCACUUAAUCACAGGUUCAGAAAGAACAGAAAAGAUUUCUUUGUUUCCCCGCGUCUUUCUGGUGAAGAAUUGCAUCAUGUUGUAUCAGAGUACGAUGACAUUGUGUUUGGCCUUCAAUCAGGUAAGCAAAAGUUUCCUGGUUUUUUUUGACCCAUAAUUGGGUAAAGCGAAGUAUCUUUUGGGAGCUUUCUUAUUGGAAGACCAAUCUUCUCCGCCAUAACCUUGACGUCAUGCACAUCGAAAAGAACGUGUUUGAGAAUAUUUUUAACACCAUCAUGGAUGUGAAGGGGAAGACAAAGGACAACAUCAAGUCUAGAUUGGAUAUAGCUUUAUACUAUAACCGUAAAAAUAUGGAGUUGGUUUAUGAGGAGUCAUAGGUCGCAAAACCAAGGGCAAGCUUCGUGUUAGAGAAAAACGCACAACUGCUAGUCUACAAAUGGCUUAAGAGUCUGCGUUUUCCGGAUGGACAUGCAUCGAACAUAUCAAGGCUUGUUAACAUAGAGGACUGCAGAUUGUAUGGAAUAAAGAGUCAUGACUACCACGUGUUUAUGCAAACACUCAUCCCAUUAGCUUUUCGUGAUUUGUUGCCAAAGGGAAUAUGGGAUACACUGACGGAGAUCAGUCAUUUAUUCAGAGAUAUACCAGCAAGUUGAAUGUUGAGCACAUUGAGAGGCUUCAAACGAAUAUCAUCGAGACACAAUGCAAACUUGAGAUGAUAUUCACUUGCCUUCUCCUUAAGACCCUAUGCUUCCUUGACCCUAUUCCAGGGUUAGCAUGUAGCCUCCUCCUCCUAAAGUGCUCCUCUUUCUCCUCUUCUUUCCUCAUUUCUGGCAGCAAUUCUUGCACUUCAUCCGCAGCAGACACAAUAUCUUCAACAUCUGUUGAUGACACUGCCUCAGCUACACUCAGAUACCCUCUGGACAAAAUCCAGCACACCGACUCCCAUUAGUACCUUCACUAUUUCUCAAAAAAAUAGAACUGGGUUUUCCCAUAAAAUCUUCAUGGGUUGAUAUUUCGCCAAUUGCUCGAAAACCAAGUCGUGGACUUGUGUUAUUAAGCGAAUGGAACUUGAGUUUCUAAAAAAAGAUGGGUUCUUUAGAGGCUCCUAAAAAGCUGCAAGUUCUUGGAAAUGAAGGGAAAUUGAGGGACUUUGAUUGGGAUUUCAAAGUGGCUUGUUUUGCGAUGUUUCUCCACAUAACUGUGGAUGGUUUAGAGAUAGAAUUGUGGGUUUCUUAUCAAAAGUAAUCAAAGGAUCAAAAUUUUUGGUAGAAAAUAUAUGGGAGCUGGCCCUCUAAUUAAAGGAAAUUAAAAAAAGAAAAAGAAAUGGAAUUGAAGUGAUUGAGAGAUGAAUUGAAAUGCGCGGGUAAUGCAGCUUGAGAAAAGAAACGAGUUCAUAGAGAGGUAUGGUAGUGGUAUUAGCAUACCGGCCGCUUUAAACCCUGCAUAAAUUGCAAGGGCUUUUCGCAAUGUAAAAGUGUUAGAGCUUGUUUAAUAUGGAAACAAUCCUUCCAUCCGCAAACAUGGGAUUAUCCUAAAUUUAAGAAAAAAAUCCAUACAAAGUAAAAUGUGAAUCUAAUUGCCCAAACCAAAACCAUGAGCUAAAACUACCGAAGAUCUUCAAGCUAAAGCAAUAGCUGGAGCAGCUGCCGCUGCUCCUGCUGCAGUUGCCGCUGCUCCUGCUGCAGCUGCCGCAGCUGCACCUGCACCUGCUCCUGUUGCAGCCGCUGCAACUGCACCUGCUCCUUCUGCAGCCGCUGCAACUGCACCUGCUCCUGCUGCAGCUGCUGUUGCCGGAGCACCUGUAGCCGCCGCUGCACGAGCACUUGCCACCGCUGCCGGAGCACCUGCCGCCGCUCAUCAAGGUCCUGCUGUUGCCACUGCCGCCGCCGCUCAUGGAGGUGCUGCUGCCGCUGGAGCACUUGCUGCAGCUGCUCCUCCUCCUGCUCGAGCAGCUCCUCCUCCUGCUCGAGCAGCUCCUCCUCCUGCGUGAGCUGCUGCUGCAGCUCAGGUACAGUGAAACUGUACAUGGAUUCGAUGUUACAUGUUUUGUUGGGUGUUAAAAAAAAAAUUAAUAAAAAAAGUAUAGAUAUAUUUUUUCAACAUGUUUUUGUAUUUAAAAAAUUCUAAGUGAAAAAAAGAAUUAUAUAUAAAUAUAAUCAAAUAAAUUAAGAAUUAUAUGUGUUAAUAAAUAAAAAAACAACUAUAAACUAUAACUAAAAAUAAAAAUGAAAAAAUUGAGAAACAAGUGUAGAUUAAAAUAUUUAAUUUUAAAAGACGAGAUAUUUACGUGAUUGUAUUUAUUAAAUUUAUUCAUUAAUUUUUUUUUAUUCAAUCAAACGAUAAUAAAAAUAGACAUACACAUCAAAUUGAUUGAAUAAAAUAAAAUAAAAUAUGCAAGGCUGCACUUGUUAGAAAUAUUAUUUGAAAAUAAAAAAUUUUAUUUUCAAGAAUAAAGUUUAUUUGUACAAAAAGUUAAAAAAAUUAUAAAUGAAUUAGAAAAACUUUCUCAAAAAUUAAAUGCAUAACUAAAAAAUGAACAAUCAUUUCAAAGAGGAUCUCUAAACAACAAAAAAAAAAAACAAGGGAUAUUAAUCUAAAUAUAAAAUAAAAAAACAUAUAAAAGGAUAAAAAAAAAGAAAAAAGAAGAAGCAAAGGUCAUUCGUUGUUGGGACUACUAAGUUAAGUGAGUCCAAUUGCCGUAUUUUGUUAAGGCCCCUACUCACUAACCUUUUUUUUUUGUUGCAAGAUGUUUGAAAAAAAAAAAAAGAUGACGGUCUUUUAUAGACUAUAUUUUUUUUUCUCUUACAAAAAAGAUGUGCAUGCAUGUUUUUUCGAUGCCAAUUUAUUUAUAAAAAAAUUUAAAUGUAAAUUUAAAAGCUCAUACAUAAAUGUAAUCAAAUAAAUUGAUAACUAUAUGAAUUAAUAAUAAUAAAAAAUAUUAACAAUAAAUAAAAAUAAAAUUUUAAAAAAUUCAAAUGUGUUAAUAAACGGAACAUUUACCUAGUUAUAUUUUUGAAUUUAUUUAUUAAAAUUUAUUUUUUUAUUCAAUUAAAUGAUAUUAAAAAAAACACACACGUAUUACAUUGAUUAAAUAAAAUAAAAAUAGAAAACAUAUUAUGCAAGGUUGCUGUAUAUAUUAUGAUAUAUGAAAAUAAUUUUUUUAUACAAAAAGAUAAAAAAUAAUUAUCAAUGAAUUAUAAUAAGUUUUUUAAAAAUUAAAUAUGAACAACACCAUAAAAAAUAAUAUCUAUCCAAAAAUAAAUAAAUAAAUAAAUAAUAAUAAUUACAAAUGAGGAAUAUUAAUUGAAACAUAAAUUUAAAAAAUAUUUUUAAAAAAAUAUAUAAAAAGGAAGAAUUAAUUAUUACCUUUUCGAUACAGAUGAAAUCUCAACUUCAUUGAGAAUAUCCAUCCAUCUUUGUACCUUCUUGUUUUCCCUGAAAUUUUCUUCAUUCUUAUCAAAGACAAUUAUGUAACUCUCUGUUUGAUCAUCUAUCUUUGAUUCUUCGACAUCAUAAGAAACUGGAAACAUAGUGUCCGAUCUCAUCUCAUCCAUGAAUCUGAAAAUCUUGACAAGUUCGUCAAAGCACCAAGGUAAAGAAGCACAAUCUCUUGCAAAUAUAAUAAUUGACAGCCCUGAUUCUUCAAUGGCCUCAAAGAGUCUUGAUCUAAUUGCCAUUACUUUCUCUGGUUCCUUCCUGACUGGGAUAAUAACUCUCCGAGCUAGAUCUGACUUUAAAUAGGUGAUAGCAUUACUAGUGUCUGCGGCUCUGAUGCCAGGGAAAACACUAGCCAUCCAAUGAUGGUAAGAUGAAGAAAAAGCUAAAGAAGCUUUAUAUGAAGAAGCUGUUUCUAAACUUGUAACAAUAAAAUGGGCAGAUGGUUGGGAUGUACUAUACAGAGAAGAUAACAAACAAACACCACAAUUCUUCACCUUUACUCGUCGCUCGUAGGAAUGAAAUGACAACUCAAUGUUGCUAAAGGAUCCAUGCUUCCAUUCUUUAAGCUCUUUAAGGUAAUCAAAAGAUAGAUAGAAUAGCCAAACAUGAUUUGACAGAACUUGGAUAGAAUUACAACUAAUACUUAUUGGCGAACGAUAAUUCUCUCUUCCAUUGGCUUUGAAAUGACAAGAAAGAGAUGGACUUUCACCAUUUGCACUGAAUGCAACACACGCAACAAACCCCAUGCUCCAACUAGGCACUUGCACACUAAUUGAAGAUCCCUUACUUUGAUGGUUAAACCAGCCUGGAAUUUCAUUUCCUGGAACAACAAUACCAAAUCCAGGUCUUGGAUUAGGCAAACCCUGUACCAUGAAGAACCAAAAUGUUAGAUAGAUAAAGGGAGAGGGAGAGAGAUACAAAGAGGUUGGGGAUUGAUUAAGAGAAGACCUUGAGGUAUCUUUCAAGCAUGGUUAACCCCAUGCUGUCUUGGCCAUUAUGCUCGUACAACUCCCAGCAGUUAAGACAUAUGAACUCUGAUCUUUUGGAACUGCUUAGCUUUAUCGGAUCUGGAAUUUCUUUUAGGCGUAUACAACCAUUCAAAUUUAAUGUUUGAACUUUUGGUGGAACCUCAGGCAAUGAUUCAAGCAUCCUACAAUCCUCCAAGACAAGCAUUUCAAGUCCAGAAAGUUGAUUUAUGCUUUCAGGCAGGCUAAUAAAGUUAUUCUGGCUCAGAUCUAAAGACUUCAAUGAAGAUAAGCAGCCAAUAUCUUCAGGAAGUGCCCCUUCUCUUAGAUUGCAAGCGCAUAAAUCCAAUACUUCUAAAGAACACAGACCCAACAAAGAAGGCAACCUGUGAUCCGUGGGAUUCAUAGCUAUUCUUUUGCAUCCAUCAAAAGAUAAUACUUUAAGAUUCUUUAAAAGAAAAAUGGAUGCUGGCGGUUGUCUUAUUGAAGUUCCACUUCCAUCAAACUCCUCCAAACUUUCAACUUUCCCUAAAUUCUCUGGUAUAUAUUUAAGUCUAAAGCAGCCAGAUAGAUCAAGUUUUUUAAGGGAUUUCAAACAACCUAUGCUACUUGGAAUGCUUUCAAGGUUCUUGCAGUUGUUCAUGCUCAAUAGACCUAAGCCAAUCAAAUGAUGCAUCGAUG
RNAcentral lists this long non-coding RNA (36777 nucleotides) under Populus tremula. Its description in RNAcentral is "long non-coding RNA (PTRE_LNC001338)". Lineage: Eukaryota; Viridiplantae; Streptophyta; Magnoliopsida; Malpighiales; Salicaceae. The record is from RNAcentral.